Molecule: ribosomal RNA, 1372 nt
Filed under: uncultured bacterium
Lineage: Bacteria
Description: bacterial SSU rRNA
Rfam family: Bacterial small subunit ribosomal RNA
Source: RNAcentral
GAUGAACGCUGGCGGCGUGCCUAAUACAUGCAAGUCGAGCGAACGGACGAGAAGCUUGCUUCUCUGAUGUUAGCGGCGGACGGGUGAGUAACACGUGGAUAACCUACCUAUAAGACUGGGAUAACUUCGGGAAACCGGAGCUAAUACCGGAUAAUAUUUUGAACCGCAUGGUUCAAAAGUGAAAGACGGUCUUGCUGUCACUUAUAGAUGGAUCCGCGCUGCAUUAGCUAGUUGGUAAGGUAACGGCUUACCAAGGCAACGAUGCAUAGCCGACCUGAGAGGGUGAUCGGCCACACUGGAACUGAGACACGGUCCAGACUCCUACAGGAGGCAGCAGUAGGGAAUCUUCCGCAAUGGGCGAAAGCCUGACGGAGCAACGCCGCGUGAGUGAUGAAGGUCUUCGGAUCGUAAAACUCUGUUAUUAGGGAAGAACAUAUGUGUAAGUAACUGUGCACAUCUUGACGGUACCUAAUCAGAAAGCCACGGCUAACUACGUGCCAGCAGCCGCGGUAAUACGUAGGUGGCAAGCGUUAUCCGGAAUUAUUGGGCGUAAAGCGCGCGUAGGCGGUUUUUUAAGUCUGAUGUGAAAGCCCACGGCUCAACCGUGGAGGGUCAUUGGAAACUGGAAAACUUGAGUGCAGAAGAGGAAAGUGGAAUUCCAUGUGUAGCGGUGAAAUGCGCAGAGAUAUGGAGGAACACCAGUGGCGAAGGCGACUUUCUGGUCUGUAACUGACGCUGAUGUGCGAAAGCGUGGGGAUCAAACAGGAUUAGAUACCCUGGUAGUCCACGCCGUAAACGAUGAGUGCUAAGUGUUAGGGGGUUUCCGCCCCUUAGUGCUGCAGCUAACGCAUUAAGCACUCCGCCUGGGGAGUACGACCGCAAGGUUGAAACUCAAAGGAAUUGACGGGGACCCGCACAAGCGGUGGAGCAUGUGGUUUAAUUCGAAGCAACGCGAAGAACCUUACCAAAUCUUGACAUCCUUUGACAACUCUAGAGAUAGAGCCUUCUCCUUCGGGGGACAAAGUGACAGGUGGUGCAUGGUUGUCGUCAGCUCGUGUCGUGAGAUGUUGGGUUAAGUCCCGCAACGAGCGCAACCCUUAAGCUUAGUUGCCAUCAUUAAGUUGGGCACUCUAAGUUGACUGCCGGUGACAAACCGGAGGAAGGUGGGGAUGACGUCAAAUCAUCAUGCCCCUUAUGAUUUGGGCUACACACGUGCUACAAUGGACAAUACAAAGGGCAGCGAAACCGCGAGGUCAAGCAAAUCCCAUAAAGUUGUUCUCAGUUCGGAUUGUAGUCUGCAACUCGACUACAUGAAGCUGGAAUCGCUAGUAAUCGUAGAUCAGCAUGCUACGGUGAAUACGUUCCCGGGUCU